Coregonus clupeaformis (lake whitefish) is the source of this 1423-nucleotide long non-coding RNA. RefSeq lists it as uncharacterized. The record is from RefSeq and is a predicted model, not a curated record. NCBI's taxonomy places the organism in Eukaryota, Metazoa, Chordata, Actinopteri, Salmoniformes, Salmonidae. The transcript has 6 exons.
CAGGUCUGUGAUUGGAGGACACACCAGGCCUCAUACGGACUAAAAAUGCCACAUCCUCAAUGAGGUAGACUCCUUCUAUAGUCUUUCACAACUGGAAGGAAUGGCGGCCAUAGGAGGUGUUGGCUUUGGGAAUGACCAGUGAGAUAUACCUGCUGGAGCGCAGAACUACGUUCUGCACAGAUCGGCCUCCUACAAGCAGACAGCCCAGCUGAGGGAGAACUUGUAUGGAACGGUGACCGAGACACACCAGAAAUACUGUACGCCGCCUACCUGAAAGAUGUCUACAGCCAGAAGAAGUACAAGGAUGAGGCGGAGAAGCUGAAGGAUUCGUAUGGGUUCAACACCCCUGAGAUGGAGAGAGUGAAGAAUAACCAGAGGAACAUCAGCUCAUGUCGGUACGCUUGGGACUCAAAGCUGCAGAAAAGCCUGAUGUCUUCUGUCACCGACACUCCGGAAAUCGUCCUCGCCAGGGAGAACACAAAGGAAAUCAGUGAUGUGAAAUAAAGAGGGAGCGGAAAGUCUUGGAAACCGUUGACAUGGAGAGGGUCCGCAGAAACCAGGAGAACAUCAGCUUGUAUAAAAAGCAGCUCCAGGCCACCAGUGUGGGACCAGUGUGGGAGUCACCCCAGAGUUGGAGAGAGUCCGUCAGAACCAGCUCGGCAAGUCACAUAGGAUGCAUCUGAAAUGGCAACCUACAGUAUAUGUGGGCUCUGACCAAAAGUAGUGCACUAUGUAGUGGAAAUGGCCUAGGUGGGAGUGUGCUAAGCAGUAUGACCACCAAUUACUUUUGUGCUACUUUAGAUAAUUGAGAUGCACCCCGACCUACUUUUGUGCUACUUUAGAUAAUUGAGAUGCACCCCGACCUACUUUUGUGCGUUGCAGGUGAAGUACCAGGGCGGGAUGAAGGAGGUGAAGGGGCGGUCCUGCAGCGAGUUGGACACGCCCGAACAGGGAGUCUCAGAAUGACAUCUAACAUGACCGAAGCGCACCGCGUGUGGGACUGCUGCACCUUUAACCCUCAGAGCUAAAGCGUUAAAAGCAUGGCUGUUUCCUUCUAUGAGGGAGCCAUAAUGAAUGUAUGUUUGUGAGCGUGUCUGUGAGUGCACGCGCGUGUUUUACUAAUAAAGUGAUUUUUACAUGGUUUCUUGUGCAGAGUUUUUUUGCAUACUGACCAAAAUACACCCUUUGCUCUCUGACCAAAAUGCACACAGGUUGUAUGUGUGUGUGUGUACGUCUGCGUGCACGUGUGUGUCGGUAUGUGUGCUUUUGUAUGCAUGCAUCCACGUGUGUACACUUGACAGACGUUUUGCCUGGUGUGACACAAUUUCACAAAUGUGUAAAUGUACAUCAAUAAUGUUCCUCUCAUUAAGCUGCCACACAAAACUCUGAGUUGUUAUCACGACGCUGAAAGUGUGCCACCCAU